This 593-nucleotide ribosomal RNA is filed under the name uncultured bacterium. Its description in RNAcentral is "bacterial SSU rRNA". The stretch from base 1 to 514 matches the Rfam family "Bacterial small subunit ribosomal RNA", at positions 338 to 873 of the family's 1533-position model. The record is from RNAcentral.
CCUACGGGAGGCAGCAGUAGGGAAUCUUGCGCAAUGGGCGAAAGCCUGACGCAGCCAUGCCGCGUGAAUGAUGAAGGUCUUAGGAUUGUAAAAUUCUUUCACCGGGGAAGAUAAUGACGGUACCCGGAGAAGAAGCCCCGGCUAACUUCGUGCCAGCAGCCGCGGUAAUACGAAGGGGGCUAGCGUUGCUCGGAAUUACUGGGCGUAAAGGGCGCGUAGGCGGAUAGCUAAGUCAGAGGUGAAAGCCCAGGGCUCAACCUUGGAACUGCCUUUGAUACUGGCUGUCUUGAGUUCGGGAGAGGUGAGUGGAAUGCCGAGUGUAGAGGUGAAAUUCGUAGAUAUUCGGCGGAACACCAGUGGCGAAGGCGACUCACUGGCCCGAUACUGACGCUGAGGCGCGAAAGCGUGGGGAGCAAACAGGAUUAGAUACCCUGGUAGUCCACGCUGUAAACGAUGAGUGCUAGUUGUCGGCAUGCAUGCNUGUCGGUGCGCNGCUACGCAUAAGCACNCCGCCGUGGGAGGUACGGUCGCGAGAGUAAACUACGAAGAAGUAGACGCGNGAGAGNGCCGACGGACGACGACGAGGGAGGAGG